Molecule: long non-coding RNA, 539 nt
Organism: Anolis carolinensis (green anole)
Lineage: Eukaryota; Metazoa; Chordata; Lepidosauria; Squamata; Anolidae
Exons: 3
Source: RefSeq, a predicted model, not a curated record
GCGCUCGAACUCGCGGUAGUCCUGGGCGCUGAAGCGGUACUUGCGCUGGAGAUCCCCGCGCUUCUGCUCCAGGAGCCGCCGCUGCCCGGUCUCGGCCUCGGCCUCGAGCGCGUCGAAGACGGCGGCGCCCACCAGCAGAUGAGGAACCAAAGCUGAAAUCAGGUUAUAGUUCCUGGACUACUGAAAUAAAUGCAUAGGCACAUGAACAUGAGCCAGCUGGUCAACAUCUCACAAAAGUGCUGCAGGAGUCCCACUCAGCCAACAAACACAAGGAAGAAUUUGACCAACCCUCAAGUGGCAAAGUAAAGGAUAUCAUACCAAAAAUGAGCUUGGAAAAAGUUUCUUUCAGAGAUUAAAACUUCCAGAUCUCCCUUCCCCUUCAAAACCAGCAUAGAUAAUUGCUAUGAUGCUGGAAGAUCUGGAGCUGUGGUCCAAAAAAGUAACUUUUCCUUGUUUAUUGGUUAGCUCUCAUUAUCUGGAAGUAGCAUUGGUUCUGGAGAAGACCAAUCUAGAGUAGUAUCCUUAUUUCUGCAGUAGGA